GUCUACAGCCAUACCACCCUCAACGUGCCCUAUCUCAUUUGAUCUCAGAAGAUAAGCAGAGUCGGGCCUGGUUAGUACUUGGAUGGGAGAAU
This 92-nucleotide ribosomal RNA is filed under the name Propithecus coquereli (Coquerel's sifaka). The record is from RNAcentral. Lineage: Eukaryota; Metazoa; Chordata; Mammalia; Primates; Indriidae.